Molecule: ribosomal RNA, 255 nt
Filed under: uncultured bacterium
Lineage: Bacteria
Description: partial 16S ribosomal RNA
Rfam family: Bacterial small subunit ribosomal RNA
Source: RNAcentral
UACGGAGGGUGCGAGCGUUGUCCGGAAUCACUGGGCGUAAAGGGCGCGUAGGUGGCUACUCAAGCGCGCGGUGAAAGCCCGAGGCUCAACUUCGGGUCGGCCACUGAUACUGCUAGGCUUGAGUCGACUAGAGGCAGAUGGAAUUCCGGGUGUAGCGGUGGAAUGCGUAGAGAUCCGGAAGAACACCGGUGGCGAAGGCGGUCUGCUGGGGUCGAACUGGACGCUGAGGCGCGACAGCGUGGGGAGGCAAACAGG